AGUUCCUCUGGUAGAUGCUGAGUUGGUUCCAUGCACCACAAAUGCUCUUGGAUGGGUCACAGGACCAGUGCCAGUCUCAGCUCUGCAGACAACACCUGAGCCCCUUACAUGGAGGGGGUCAUUUCUGCCCUUGCGGCUGUGUCUCUUUCGAUGGCCAGUGAGAACACAGGACGUGCUUUGCCAGAGAAGAGAAAUCAACAUUCCCCCGAUGAAUCACCAGCUACUACUAAGAAACAUCGAAAGACUGGGCCUCAAACGAAGGUCAUUAAUUCACAGUCCUGAAGGUAGUGAACCUUGUGGAAGGUUUACAACAUCCACAGGAGAGUUCCGAACUGUUUUGAGCAAGGAACACAUCCCUAGCCCAGGAUUCAAAUUUUCCGGGAUUUUCUCAACAAGUUUGAAGAUUCAGGCAAAAGCUGUCAUGAGACUUACAAAUUUAGCCUUUGGCAAAAUCUAUCAUGCUAUUAAUUCAAUUAACUGUAACUAGUAUUUGUAUUACCCAUUGAAUUACUGAUUUUUUGGAUGACUGUUUUGAUUGUUCAGAUAAAAGUGAAAAAAAAUACUCUUUGGCUUUUAUAUACUCAGGGGAAGUAAAGCGCCAAGAAAAGUCAUCAGACAGUUCAUGUCAAAAUAGGAUUUUAACCUGAAUUGUUUGCUUUCCCAUGGCUUACAACAGUGGAAACUGCAGCAAAUACCCACUUGAAUUAAUCUGUGGAACUUUGCUCUCAUCAAUGUGUAAUGUGGCAAAUAGAGUGUUUCCUUUCGUGA
Molecule: long non-coding RNA, 768 nt
Organism: Balaenoptera musculus (blue whale)
Lineage: Eukaryota; Metazoa; Chordata; Mammalia; Artiodactyla; Balaenopteridae
Exons: 3
Source: RefSeq, a predicted model, not a curated record